UGAAUACGAGAUGCUACGGCGUCGAAGCAGUCUAUGUCAUACUUCCAAGAAAAGCUUGCACUGUCAUAAACAAAUAAUGCCUGUACCAUAACCGACACAGGUGGGUAGGUAGAGUAUACUAAGGGGCGCGAGAUAACUCUCUCUAAGGAACUCGGCAAAAUGACUCCGUAACUUCGGGAGAAGGAGUGCCUUAUUUAUAAGGUUGCAAUAACAAGAUCCAAGCAACUGUUUACCAAAAACACAGGUCUCCGCUAAGUCGUAAGACGAUGUAUGGGGGCUGACGCCUGCCCAGUGCCAGAAGGUUAAAGAAGUUGGUUAGCAUCCGCGAAGCUGAUAACUGAAGCCCUGGUGAACGGCGGCCGUAACAAUAACGGUCCUAAGGUAGCGAAAUUCCUUGUCGGGUAAGUUCCGACCCGCACGAAAGGCGUAAUGAUUUGGAUACUGUCUCGGAGAGGGGCUCGGUGAAAUAGACUUGUCUGUGAAGAUGCGGACUACCUGCACCAGGACAGAAAGACCCUAUGAAGCUUUACUGUAACCUGAAAUUGAAAUUGGACUUUACUUGCGCAGUAUAGGUGGGAGGCGUUGAGAAUAUUCUUGCGGGAUUAUUGGAGCCAUCAGUGAGAUACCACUCUUGUAAUGUUAGAUUUCUAACUUUGUAUCAUUAUCUGGUCAAAGAACAGUUUCAGGCGGGCAGUUUGACUGGGGCGGUCGCCUCCUAAACGGUAACGGAGGCGCACAAAGGUUUCCUCUGAACGGGUAGAAAUCGUAUCUAGAGUGUAAAGGCAUAAGGAAGCUUGACUGUGAGACCUACAAGUCGAGCAGGGACGAAAGUCGGUCUUAGUGAUCUGACGGUGCUGAGUGGAAAGGCCGUCACUCAACGGAUAAAAGUUACUCUAAGGAUAACAGGCUGAUCUCCCCCAAGAGUUCACAUCGACGGGGAGGUUUGGCACCUCGAUGUCGGCUCAUCGCAUCCUGGGGCGGUAGUACGUCCCAAGGGUUGGGCUGUUCGCCCAUGAAAGCGGUACGCGAGCUGGGUUCAGAACGUCGUGAGACAGUUCGGUCCAUAUCCGGUGUAGGCGUUAGAAUAUUGAGAGGAGCCUUCUUUAGUACGAGAGGACCGAGAAGGACAUACCUCUGGUGUACCAGUUAUCGUGCCAACGGUAAACGCUGGGUAGCUAUGUGUGGAGUGGAUAACCGCUGAAAGCAUCUAAGUGGGAAGCCUACCUCAAGAUAAGUAUUCUCGU
Molecule: ribosomal RNA, 1244 nt
Filed under: metagenome
Description: bacterial LSU rRNA
Rfam family: Bacterial large subunit ribosomal RNA
Source: RNAcentral